GGUGCUGCAUGGCUGUCGUCAGCUCGUGUUGUGAAAUGUUGGGUUAAGUCCCGCAACGAGCGCAACCCUUAUCCUUUGUUGCCAGCGAUUAGGUCGGGAACUCAAAGGAGACUGCCAGUGAUAAACUGGAGGAAGGUGGGGAUGACGUCAAGUCAUCAUGGCCCUUACGACCAGGGCUACACACGUGCUACAAUGGCGCAUACAAAGAGAAGCGACCUCGCGAGAGCAAGCGGACCUCAUAAAGUGCGUCGUAGUCCGGAUUGGAGUCUGCAACUCGACUCCAUGAAGUCGGAAUCGCUAGUAAUCGUGGAUCAGAAUGCCACGGUGAAUACGUUCCCGGGCCUUGUACACACCGCCCGUCACACCAUGGGAGUGGGUUGCAAAAGAAGUAGGUAGCUUAACCUUCGGGAGGGCGCUUACCACUUUGUGAUUCAUGACUGGGGUGAAGUCGUAACAAGGUAACCGUAGGGGAACCUGCGGUUGGAUCACCUCCUUACCUGAAAGAA
This 506-nucleotide ribosomal RNA is filed under the name Salmonella enterica. Its description in RNAcentral is "bacterial SSU rRNA". It matches the Rfam family "Bacterial small subunit ribosomal RNA", at positions 1037 to 1533 of the family's 1533-position model. The record is from RNAcentral. Lineage: Bacteria; Pseudomonadati; Pseudomonadota; Gammaproteobacteria; Enterobacterales; Enterobacteriaceae.